Molecule: ribosomal RNA, 850 nt
Filed under: uncultured bacterium
Lineage: Bacteria
Description: bacterial SSU rRNA
Rfam family: Bacterial small subunit ribosomal RNA
Source: RNAcentral
GCUAUCUGCAGUCGAGGGGCAGCGGGGUAGCAAUACCGCCGGCGACCGGCAAACGGGUGCGGAACACGUACGCAACCUUCCUUCAAGUGGGGGAUAGCCCAUAGAAAUGUGGAUUAAUACCUCGUAACAUCACGGCGUGGCAUCACGCUGUGAUUAUAGAAUUUCGCUUGAAGAUGGGCGUGCGUCUGAUUAGGUAGUUGGUGAGGUAACGGCUCACCAAGCCGACGAUCAGUAACUGGCGUGAGAGCGCGACCAGUCACACGGGCACUGAGACACGGGCCCGACUCCUACGGGAGGCAGCAGUAAGGAAUAUUGGUCAAUGGACGCAAGUCUGAACCAGCCAUGCCGCGUGGAGGAUGAAGGUCCUCUGGAUUGUAAACUUCUUUUAUUUGGGACGAAACACUUCUUUUCUAAGAAGCUUGACGGUACCAAGUGAAUAAGCACCGGCUAACUCCGUGCCAGCAGCCGCGGUAAUACGGAGGGUGCAAGCGUUAUCCGGAUUCACUGGGUUUAAAGGGUGCGUAGGCGGGCUUGUAAGUCCGUGGUGAAAUCUCAAAGCUUAACUUUGAAACUGCCAUGGAUACUAUAGGUCUUGAAUGUUGUGGAGGUUUGCGGAAUAUGUCAUGUAGCGGUGAAAUGCUUAGAUAUGACAUAGAACACCGAUUGCGAAGGCAGCAGGCUACACAAAUAUUGACGCUGAGGCACGAAAGCGUGGGGAUCAAACAGGAUUAGAUACCCUGGUAGUCCACGCCCUAAACGAUGAUUACUCGACAUUUGUGAUACACAAUAAGUGUCUGAGCGAAAGCAUUAAGUAAUCCACCUGGGAAGUACGACCGCAAGGUUGAAACUC